RNAcentral lists this ribosomal RNA (382 nucleotides) under uncultured bacterium. Its description in RNAcentral is "partial 16S ribosomal RNA". It matches the Rfam family "Bacterial small subunit ribosomal RNA", at positions 338 to 734 of the family's 1533-position model. The record is from RNAcentral.
CCUACGGGAGGCAGCAGUGGGGAAUAUUGGGCAAUGGGCGCAAGCCUGACCCAGCAACGCCGCGUGAAGGAAGAAGGCUCUCGGGUUGUAAACUUCUUUUCUGAGGGACGAAGAAAGUGACGGUACCUCCGGAAUAAGCCACGGCUAACUACGUGCCAGCAGCCGCGGUAAUACGGAGGUGGCAAGCGUUAUCCGGAUUUAUUGGGUGUAAAGGGUGUGUAGGCGGGAAAGCAAGUUAGAUGUGAAAACUCAGGGCUCAACCCUGGGCCUGCAUUUGAAACUGUUUGUCUUGAGUGCUGGAGAGGCAGGCGGAAUGGCGUGUGUAGCGGUGAAAUGCGUAGAUAUACGGAAGAACACCAGUGGCGAAGGCAGAUUGCUAGAC